GGGAUUUUCCAACAGUAAAGCACUGUUAUUCAAAAAUACAGUUGAAUACUGUGAAUGCAAACCGUUUUUGGAAAAAAAACUUUUAAUCGCAAACUGCUGUUUAAUUCAACGGUACAGAACAGUAUUUUUUAAGUCUAGUCACGUGUCCGAAGCUGUUUCGAAUGCUCACAACUCCUCAGAAGAGAAACCUGCAGGUCUAAUCUGAGCAAGAUCAUCAAAUCUAGCCUCAUCUUUUCACCUGGUGUACGUAAAUAUUGCAGAACGAAGGAUAAAGAGUUUUAGAACACAACAAUUUUGAGGUUUGUCCCGAGUCGACUGAACUGAACGGCUGAAGCUGAACUGGUCGAGAUAAACGGCAUUCCCGCACGGGGUUUUCCCUCCUUGCUUGAGCUCGAAGUGUGAGGAUAUCCGGGGUUUAAUCUUACACCUGAAAAACCACAUUACUGAAGAUUCCUUUCCUACAUGUCAAUCCAUAACGAGAUAAAGGCUAUCAUCCUCAGGGCUUUGCCCAGUCUGACUGAGGAGAUUCGAGAACAUGUCAUCACUUCACUUGAACGCUCAGGUGUGGAAUCUAUAGAAGACCUUGUAUAUGUACAACAGGAAGAUCUCAAAGAUGUCCUGACUAUUAUACAGCAAAGGAAACUUUUGGAGGCAUUCAAACUUGAAACUACAAAAGUCACACUUGAUCUCCAAAUAUUGCCAGAUGAGUCAACAGAUACAAGUAUUUCUUCACUCUCCAGUCCACAGCCUUGCACAUCUUUAAGCUCAAGCUCUUCACGAGCAUCAACACCUUGUACUAAAAGCAAGGCAAGCCAAUCACCCAACAUAUCCAGUAAGUGGUAUGAAAAUUUUGAGAUUCCUUGGGAUAAAAUG
Carassius auratus (goldfish) is the source of this 873-nucleotide long non-coding RNA. RefSeq lists it as uncharacterized. NCBI's taxonomy places the organism in Eukaryota, Metazoa, Chordata, Actinopteri, Cypriniformes, Cyprinidae. The record is from RefSeq and is a predicted model, not a curated record. The transcript is spliced from 4 exons.